RNAcentral lists this ribosomal RNA (497 nucleotides) under uncultured bacterium. RNAcentral describes it as "partial 16S ribosomal RNA". It matches the Rfam family "Bacterial small subunit ribosomal RNA", at positions 28 to 507 of the family's 1533-position model. The record is from RNAcentral.
GACGAACGCUGGCGGCGUGCCUAAUACAUGCAAGUUGAGCGAUGAAGCUUGGUGCUUGCACCAAUUUGAAGAGCAGCGAACGGGUGAGUAACGCGUGGGGAAUCUGCCUUUGAGCGGGGGACAACAUUUGGAAACGAAUGCUAAUACCGCAUAACAACUUUAAACAUAAGUUUUAAGUUUGAAAGAUGCAAUUGCAUCACUCAAAGAUGAUCCCGCGUUGUAUUAGCUAGUUGGUGAGGUAAAGGCUCACCAAGGCGAUGAUACAUAGCCGACCUGAGAGGGUGAUCGGCCACAUUGGGACUGAGACACGGCCCAAACUCCUACGGGAGGCAGCAGUAGGGAAUCCUCGGCAAUGGACGAAAGUCUGACCGAGCAACGCCGCGGGAGUGAAGAAGGUUUUCGGAUCGUAAAACUCUGUUGGUAGAGAAGAACGUUGGUGAGAGUGGAAAGCUCAUCAAGUGACGGUAACUACCCAGAAAGGGACGGCUAACUACGUG